GACGAACGCUUGCGGCGUGCUUAACACAUGCAAGUCGAACGGAAAGGCCCUGCUUUUGUGGGGUGCUCGAGUGGCGAACGGGUGAGUAACACGUGAGUAACCUGCCCUUGACUUUGGGAUAACUUCAGGAAACUGGGGCUAAUACCGGAUAGGAGCUCCUGCUGCAUGGUGGGGGUUGGAAAGUUUCGGCGGUUGGGGAUGGACUCGCGGCUUAUCAGCUUGUUGGUGGGGUAGUGGCUUACCAAGGCUUUGACGGGUAGCCGGCCUGAGAGGGUGACCGGCCACAUUGGGACUGAGAUACGGCCCAGACUCCUACGGGAGGCAGCAGUGGGGAAUAUUGCACAAUGGGCGGAAGCCUGAUGCAGCAACGCCGCGUGCGGGAUGACGGCCUUCGGGUUGUAAACCGCUUUCGCCUGUGACGAAGCGUGAGUGACGGUAAUGGGUAAAGAAGCACCGGCUAACUACGUGCCAGCAGCCGCGGUGAUACGUAGGGUGCGAGCGUUGUCCGGAUUUAUUGGGCGUAAAGGGCUCGUAGGUGGUUGAUCGCGUCGGAAGUGUAAUCUUGGGGCUUAACCCUGAGCGUGCUUUCGAUACGGGUUGACUUGAGGAAGGUAGGGGAGAAUGGAAUUCCUGGUGGAGCGGUGGAAUGCGCAGAUAUCAGGAGGAACACCAGUGGCGAAGGCGGUUCUCUGGGCCUUUCCUGACGCUGAGGAGCGAAAGCGUGGGGAGCGAACAGGCUUAGAUACCCUGGUAGUCCACGCUGUAAACGGUGGGUACUAGGUGUGGGGUCCAUUCCACGGGUUCCGUGCCGUAGCUAACGCUUUAAGUACCCCGCCUGGGGAGUACGGCCGCAAGGCUAAAACUCAAAGGAAUUGACGGGGCCCCGCACAAGCGGCGGAGCAUGCGGAUUAAUUCGAUGCAACGCGUAGAACCUUACCUGGGUUUGACAUGGAUCGGGAGUGCUCAGAGAUGGGUGUGCCUCUUUUGGGGUCGGUUCACAGGUGGUGCAUGGCUGUCGUCAGCUCGUGUCGUGAGAUGUUGGGUUAAGUCCCGCAACGAGCGCAACCCUUGUUCACUGUUGCCAGCACGUUAUGGUGGGGACUCAGUGGAGACCGCCGGGGUCAACUCGGAGGAAGGUGGGGAUGACGUCAAGUCAUCAUGCCCCUUAUGUCCAGGGCUUCACGCAUGCUACAAUGGCUGGUACAGAGAGUGGCGAGCCUGUGAGGGUGAGCGAAUCUCGGAAAGCCGGUCUCAGUUCGGAUCGGGGUCUGCAACUCGACCUCAUGAAGUCGGAGUCGCUAGUAAUCGCAGAUCAGCAACGCUGCGGUGAAUACGUUCCCGGGGCU
Molecule: ribosomal RNA, 1346 nt
Filed under: uncultured bacterium
Lineage: Bacteria
Description: partial 16S ribosomal RNA
Rfam family: Bacterial small subunit ribosomal RNA
Source: RNAcentral